This 453-nucleotide ribosomal RNA is filed under the name uncultured organism. RNAcentral describes it as "partial 16S ribosomal RNA". It matches the Rfam family "Bacterial small subunit ribosomal RNA", at positions 331 to 800 of the family's 1533-position model. The record is from RNAcentral.
GUACACUCCUACGGGAGGCAGCAGUGGGGAAUAUUGGACAAUGGGCGCAAGCCUGAUCCAGCCAUGCCGCGUGAGUGAUGAAGGCCCUAGGGUUGUAAAGCUCUUUCACCGGUGAAGAUAAUGACGGUAACCGGAGAAGAAGCCCCGGCUAACUUCGUGCCAGCAGCCGCGGUAAUACGAAGGGGGCUAGCGUUGUUCGGAUUUACUGGGCGUAAAGCGCACGUAGGUGGACUAUUAAGUCAGGGGUGAAAUCCCGGGGCUCAACCCCGGAACUGCCUUUGAUACUGGUAGUCUUGAGUUCGAGAGAGGUGAGUGGAAUUCCGAGUGUAGAGGUGAAAUUCGUAGAUAUUCGGAGGAACACCAGUGGCGAAGGCGGCUCACUGGCUCGAUACUGACGCUGAGGUGCGAAAGCGUGGGGAGCAAACAGGAUUAGAAACCCUUGUAGUCCCAUGA